GUCAGGCGCAGUGGCACAUGCCUGUAGUCCCAGCUACUCGGGAGGCUGAGGCUAGAGGAUCGCUUGAGCCCAGGAGUUCUGGGCUGUAGUGCACUAUGCCGAUCGGGUGUCCGCACUAAGUUCCGCAUCAGUGUGGUGGCCUCCUGGGAGUAGGGGGCCACCAGGUUGCCUAAGGAGGGGUGAACCAGCCCAGGUCAGAAACGGAGCAGGUCAAAACUCGCAUACUGAUCAGUAGUGGGAUCGCGCCUGUGAAUAGCCACUGCACUCCAGCCUGGGCAACAUGGCGAGACCUGUCUCUU
RNAcentral lists this signal recognition particle RNA (299 nucleotides) under Callithrix jacchus (white-tufted-ear marmoset). RNAcentral describes it as "Metazoan signal recognition particle RNA (ENSCJAG00000070268.1)". It matches the Rfam family "Metazoan signal recognition particle RNA". Rfam says of the family: The signal recognition particle (SRP) is a universally conserved ribonucleoprotein. It is involved in the co-translational targeting of proteins to membranes. The record is from Rfam by way of RNAcentral. Lineage: Eukaryota; Metazoa; Chordata; Mammalia; Primates; Cebidae.